This 255-nucleotide ribosomal RNA is filed under the name uncultured bacterium. RNAcentral describes it as "partial 16S ribosomal RNA". It matches the Rfam family "Bacterial small subunit ribosomal RNA", at positions 1248 to 1500 of the family's 1533-position model. The record is from RNAcentral.
AGCGAACCUGCGAAGGCAAGCGGAUCUCUUAAAGCCGUUCUCAGUUCGGACUGUAGGCUGCAACUCGCCUACACGUAGCUGGAAUCGCUAGUAAUCGCGGAUCAGCACGCCGCGGUGAAUACGUUCCCGGGCCUUGUACACACCGCCCGUCACACCAUGAGAGUCUGUAACACCCAAAGCCGGUGGGAUAACCUUUAUAGGAGUCAGCCGUCUAAGGUAGGACAGAUGAUUAGGGUGAAGUCGUAACAAGGUAUC